GGAGUGCUGUCAUUUGGGCUCGCUCAGCCUGGCAUGCAAGUGUUCGCUUUGGUUGCUAACUUCUGCCCUCUCCCAACUCGCCGACCACACUGCAGAACAGCAAGAAUGUCAUCAAACACAUGCGUUUGCCUGAUACGACUCCUGAUUGUCGUCCUCAGCUUAUUGGUCCUAGUCAGCAGAAGCAACCUUAUUGCAGGUAGCUCAGAGCCUCAGACUCAACAGGGCCAUCUUGCGGUUCUACUGAUCCGAACAAUCCCUGCCCACCACGGUGCAGUCCGUUCUCAUCUUCUUGUCAUUAGCACGUGAGAGGCUGGGCGCUCAGAUUAUACAGGAUGCAUAAAACUUGAGAAGAUUAUCUUGUUUCCUUUGAUCUGUUUUUCUUUUGAGGAAAAACACGAGAGCUUUAUUGAAUUAGUAGCAAUCCGGUAAUCGAGCCAAUCUGGAAAGUGACUAAACCAAGCAGAGACUUGAUCAAGUCUCGUGGGUUUCUUCGCCUGGUUUCCUUUGAUCCGUUAAUGCUGACACAUUUGAACGAGUGCAUUUUCCAUGUCUAUAAAAACAUGAAUUAUCAAGUAGGCUAUGUUUCUUGUAAUAGGAAUUAGUAUAUCAAGGAGUUUUGGUUAAAUUUCAUACUUAUGUAAAUGUAAGAUGCCUUUGGUUUGGUAAAUUAGUCCAUCCCGCAGUUUUCGCU
This is a long non-coding RNA of Panicum virgatum (switchgrass), 691 nucleotides long. RefSeq lists it as uncharacterized. NCBI's taxonomy places the organism in Eukaryota, Viridiplantae, Streptophyta, Magnoliopsida, Poales, Poaceae. The transcript is spliced from 2 exons. The record is from RefSeq and is a predicted model, not a curated record.